GACGAACGCUGGCGGCGUGCUUACACAUGCAAGUCGAACGGAAAGGCCCUGCUUUUGUGGGGUGCUCGAGUGGCGAACGGGUGAGUAGCACGUGAGUAACCUGCCCUUGACUUUGGGAUAACUUCAGGAAACUGGGGCUAAUACCGGAUAGGAGCUCCUGCUGCAUGGUGGGGGUUGGAAAGUUUCGGCGGUUGGGGAUGGACUCGCGGCUUAUCAGCUUGUUGGUGGGGUAGUGGCUUACCAAGGCUUUGACGGGUAGCCGGCCUGAGAGGGUGACCGGCCACAUUGGGACUGAGAUACGGCCCAGACUCCUACGGGAGGCAGCAGUGGGGAAUAUUGCACAAUGGGCGGAAGCCUGAUGCAGCAACGCCGCGUGCGGGAUGACGGCCUUCGGGUUGUAAACCGCUUUCGCCUGUGACGAAGCGUGAGUGACGGUAAUGGGUAAAGAAGCACCGGCUAACUACGUGCCAGCAGCCGCGGUGAUACGUAGGGUGCGAGCGUUGUCCGGAUUUAUUGGGCGUAAAGGGCUCGUAGGUGGUUGAUCGCGUCGGAAGUGUAAUCUUGGGGCUUAACCCUGAGCGUGCUUUCGAUACGGGUUGACUUGAGGAAGGUAGGGGAGAAUGGAAUUCCUGGUGGAGCGGUGGAAUGCGCAGAUAUCAGGAGGAACACCAGUGGCGAAGGCGGUUCUCUGGGCCUUUCCUGACGCUGAGGAGCGAAAGCGUGGGGAGCGAACAGGCUUAGAUACCCUGGUAGUCCACGCUGUAAACGGUGGGUACUAGGUGUGGGGUCCAUUCCACGGGUUCCGUGCCGUAGCUAACGCUUUAAGUACCCCGCCUGGGGAGUACGGCCGCAAGGCUAAAACUCAAAGGAAUUGACGGGGCCCCGCACAAGCGGCGGAGCAUGCGGAUUAAUUCGAUGCAACGCGUAGAACCUUACCUGGGUUUGACAUAGAUCGGGAGUGCUCAGAGAUGGGUGUGCCUCUUUUGGGGUCGGUUCACAGGUGGUGCAUGCCUGUCGUCAGCUCGUGUCGUGAGAUGUUGGGUUAAGUCCCGCAACGAGCGCAACCCUUGUUCACUGUUGCCAGCACGUUAUGGUGGGGACUCAGUGGAGACCGCCGGGGUCAACUCGGAGGAAGGUGGGGAUGACGUCAAGUCAUCAUGCCCCUUAUGUCCAGGGCUUCACGCAUGCUACAAUGGCUGGUACAGAGAGUGGCGAGCCUGUGAGGGUGAGCGAAUCUCGGAAAGCCGGUCUCAGUUCGGAUUGGGGUCUGCAACUCGACCUCAUGAAGUCGGAGUCGCUAGUAAUCGCAGAUCAGCAACGCUGCGGUGAAUACGUUCCCGGGGCU
RNAcentral lists this ribosomal RNA (1345 nucleotides) under uncultured bacterium. RNAcentral's name for it is "partial 16S ribosomal RNA". It matches the Rfam family "Bacterial small subunit ribosomal RNA", at positions 28 to 1381 of the family's 1533-position model. The record is from RNAcentral.